UUUUGAUUACAAUAAUUAAUAAAUCGCUAAAUCUGUACAACCAAGAUAUGCUGCUAAUUUUGUGUCUAUCGGUUUAAUGUGUUUAUCAUAAAUAUUUUAAGAUUAACAUUCAGAAAUAGCACUGCAACAAGCGGAGAAGAUUACUCAGAUGAUGAGAAAUUUGUUGGAAUACUAAGUUUUAUUCAAACAACACAUUGCGUUGAUAUUUUGAUAAUUGAUGAUAACAGUUAUGAAGGCAACGAAAAUUUUACAGUUGUUUUGACGUUAAAUAACAAUCCCAACGUUCAAAUUAUACUGUUGGGGAAGCGACAGUGACUAUCACAGAUGAUGACGAUUUCGACGAGUGUAGUGCAGGUUCCCAUAAUUGCCAUCAGAACGCCUACUGUAACAAUACUGAUGGUUCUUUCAAUUGUACAUGCAAAAAUGGCUACUCGGGGAAUGGAACGGACUACCAAGAUGACGAUGAAUGUAAUUCGGGGUCUCACAAUUACCAUGAAAAUGCCAACUGUAAAAAUACUGAUGGCUCUUUCAAUUGUUCAUGC
Dendronephthya gigantea is the source of this 542-nucleotide long non-coding RNA. RefSeq lists it as uncharacterized. The record is from RefSeq and is a predicted model, not a curated record. The transcript is spliced from 3 exons. NCBI's taxonomy places the organism in Eukaryota, Metazoa, Cnidaria, Anthozoa, Malacalcyonacea, Nephtheidae.